GACGAACGCUGGCGGCGUGCUUAACACAUGCAAGUCGAACGGAAAGGCCCUGCUUUUGUGGGGUGCUCGAGUGGCGAACGGGUGAGUAAGACGUGUGUAACCUGCCCUUGACUUUGGGAUAACUUCAGGAAACUGGGGCUAAUCUCGGAUAGGAGCUCCUGCUGCAUGGUGGGGGUUGGAACGUUUCGGCGGGUGGGGAUGGACUCGCGGCUUAUCAGCUUGUUGGUGGGGUAGUGGCUUACCAAGGCUUUGACGGGUAGCCGGCCUGAGAGGGUGACCGGCCACAAGAGGACUGAGAGACGGCCCAGACUCCUACGGUAGGCAGCAGUGGGGAAUAUUGCACAGUGGGCGGAAGCCUGAUGCAGCAACGCCGCGUGCGUGAUGACGGCCUUCGGGUUGUAAACCGCUUUCGCCUGUGACGAAGCGUUAGUGACGGUAAUGGGUAAAGAAGCACCGGCUAACUACGUG
RNAcentral lists this ribosomal RNA (468 nucleotides) under uncultured bacterium. RNAcentral describes it as "partial 16S ribosomal RNA". It matches the Rfam family "Bacterial small subunit ribosomal RNA", at positions 28 to 507 of the family's 1533-position model. The record is from RNAcentral.